This 1398-nucleotide ribosomal RNA is filed under the name Staphylococcus aureus. Its description in RNAcentral is "bacterial SSU rRNA". It matches the Rfam family "Bacterial small subunit ribosomal RNA". The record is from RNAcentral. Lineage: Bacteria; Bacillati; Bacillota; Bacilli; Caryophanales; Staphylococcaceae.
CGGACGAGAAGCUUGCUUCUCUGAUGUUAGCGGCGGACGGGUGAGUAACACGUGGAUAACCUACCUAUAAGACUGGGAUAACUUCGGGAAACCGGAGCUAAUACCGGAUAAUAUUUUGAACCGCAUGGUUCAAAAGUGAAAGACGGUCUUGCUGUCACUUAUAGAUGGAUCCGCGCUGCAUUAGCUAGUUGGUAAGGUAACGGCUUACCAAGGCAACGAUGCAUAGCCGACCUGAGAGGGUGAUCGGCCACACUGGAACUGAGACACGGUCCAGACUCCUCGGGAGGCAGCAGUAGGGAAUCUUCCGCAAUGGGCGAAAGCCUGACGGAGCAACGCCGCGUGAGUGAUGAAGGUCUUCGGAUCGUAAAACUCUGUUAUUAGGGAAGAACAUAUGUGUAAGUAACUGUGCACAUCUUGACGGUACCUAAUCAGAAAGCCACGGCUAACUACGUGCCAGCAGCCGCGGUAAUACGUAGGUGGCAAGCGUUAUCCGGAAUUAUUGGGCGUAAAGCGCGCGUAGGCGGUUUUUUAAGUCUGAUGUGAAAGCCCACGGCUCAACCGUGGAGGGUCAUUGGAAACUGGAAAACUUGAGUGCAGAAGAGGAAAGUGGAAUUCCAUGUGUAGCGGUGAAAUGCGCAGAGAUAUGGAGGAACACCAGUGGCGAAGGCGACUUUCUGGUCUGUAACUGACGCUGAUGUGCGAAAGCGUGGGGAUCAAACAGGAUUAGAUACCCUGGUAGUCCACGCCGUAAACGAUGAGUGCUAAGUGUUAGGGGGUUUCCGCCCCUUAGUGCUGCAGCUAACGCAUUAAGCACUCCGCCUGGGGAGUACGACCGCAAGGUUGAAACUCAAAGGAAUUGACGGGGACCCGCACAAGCGGUGGAGCAUGUGGUUUAAUUCGAAGCAACGCGAAGAACCUUACCAAAUCUUGACAUCCUUUGACAACUCUAGAGAUAGAGCCUUCCCCUUCGGGGGACAAAGUGACAGGUGGUGCAUGGUUGUCGUCAGCUCGUGUCGUGAGAUGUUGGGUUAAGUCCCGCAACGAGCGCAACCCUAAGCUUAGUUGCCAUCAUUAAGUUGGGCACUCUAAGUUGACUGCCGGUGACAAACCGGAGGAAGGUGGGGAUGACGUCAAAUCAUCAUGCCCCUUAUGAUUUGGGCUACACACGUGCUACAAUGGACAAUACAAAGGGCAGCGAAACCGCGAGGUCAAGCAAAUCCCAUAAAGUUGUUCUCAGUUCGGAUUGUAGUCUGCAACUCGACUACAUGAAGCUGGAAUCGCUAGUAAUCGUAGAUCAGCAUGCUACGGUGAAUACGUUCCCGGGUCUUGUACACACCGCCCGUCACACCACGAGAGUUUGUAACACCCGAAGCCGGUGGAGUAACCUUUUAGGAGCUA